UGUCCAGGGAUGGGAAUCGAACCCACAGUGUUCCGCUUACCAGGCAGAUGCCAUGUCCACUAGGCUACCAUGGUAGAU
Cordylochernes scorpioides is the source of this 78-nucleotide non-coding RNA. The record is from the annotation of a GenBank genome assembly. Lineage: Eukaryota; Metazoa; Arthropoda; Arachnida; Pseudoscorpiones; Chernetidae.